RNAcentral lists this long non-coding RNA (411 nucleotides) under Equus asinus (donkey). RNAcentral describes it as "lncRNA (ENSEASG00005028061.1)". Lineage: Eukaryota; Metazoa; Chordata; Mammalia; Perissodactyla; Equidae. The record is from RNAcentral.
GAUGAUGCAGGAUAACCAGCAGCACAGGUGGAGGAGGUCUGUAAGGCCCUGGGCCACACCCCUGCCUUCCUCUCCCCGACCAAGUAUUUAGAAGGAAGAGCUACCAGCAGCUCUGACCUGGGCGGACUUUCAAGGAAGAUGCAGCCACUCCUGCUCUUGUUGGCCUUUCUUCUGCCCCCUGAGCCUGCAACAGUUCAAUCAGGGUGAUUCUGGGGGCCCACGACAUCCUGAAUCAAGAGAGAACCUGGCAGGUCAUCCCUGUGAAAGAAGCCAUCUGCCACCCAGACUAUAUUCCUAGUGAAUACUUCAAUGACAUCAUGAUACUAAAGGAGGUGGAGCUGACUGUGCAGCAGGAACAGGUGUGCGAAUCCUUCUUACAUGAUCAUUACAACUGUACCACUCUGCUGUGUG